This 321-nucleotide ribosomal RNA is filed under the name Triticum aestivum (bread wheat). Its description in RNAcentral is "partial small subunit ribosomal RNA". Lineage: Eukaryota; Viridiplantae; Streptophyta; Magnoliopsida; Poales; Poaceae. The record is from RNAcentral.
AUGGCGAUGAUGACAAAUAAGAGGUCAGUCCUAUUUUUGGAAGUAGCUGCUCUGGCUCCUCAUAUGGAGCAGGUGUCUCCUCUACCGCGGGUGACGCUUCCUGUGCCCGAGUCGGUGGUCGUCGGCAAUGUCAACAAAGAAGACGUUAGUCAUCUCUCCUCUGGCUUCUCUGCCGGAGCAGGUGGUGGCUCCUCAGCCUCAGCCGGGUGUUCGUCUACCGUGGUUGUUGCCUCCCCUGCCCCCACCCGUGGUCAGUCGCCGACGAGAACGAAGAAGAGGCAAGCUUGGGAAAAAUGUGUGGCAAAAUGUGGUCCUAAGUGA